Small nucleolar RNA from Oryctolagus cuniculus (rabbit), 130 nucleotides. Lineage: Eukaryota; Metazoa; Chordata; Mammalia; Lagomorpha; Leporidae. The record is from Ensembl.
CUCCAAAGUGUUGAGUUCAGUUCAGGGAGUUUCCCUGAUCUGGUAAUUAAACUUUGGAACAUUGAAACUGGCUAGGGAAAAUCAUCGGAUAGAAAAUGUUAUUCUAUUCAUAUAUCCCCAGCCUACAAGU